Molecule: ribosomal RNA, 30 nt
Filed under: Rhizopus stolonifer
Lineage: Eukaryota; Fungi; Mucoromycota; Mucoromycetes; Mucorales; Rhizopodaceae
Description: partial 18S ribosomal RNA
Source: RNAcentral
UUCCGCCCGUCGCUACUACCGAUUGAAUGG